Molecule: long non-coding RNA, 2229 nt
Filed under: Mytilus galloprovincialis (Mediterranean mussel)
Lineage: Eukaryota; Metazoa; Mollusca; Bivalvia; Mytilida; Mytilidae
Source: RNAcentral
UGUUCAUUUAAGAUUGCUACUUAAACAAUGCCCUUUAUUUUACUUUCUUAUCGUAUACACUUUUCAGGUGUAUUCAGGGUAAGCAUAGUUAUUAGUUAAUUUUUUAUAUUUUUUUCACAAAUUAUGAGUAAUUAAGAUUUAGUUACUGUUCAAGUACCAGAGAAACAUAAUGUUCUGGUGCUUGGACAUAGUUUUGUUGCUCGUUUGGGAAAUGAUGUUUCUACGAUUCCUUCUAUAAGACCUGAUUUUGACUUGAUCAGCUGUAGUUCACUGUCUUGGUAUCAGGGGGUGUUAUCAGUGACCUUAUUAAAGAUCUGUCAGGGGGACUUCACUGCCAACUCAAUAGUUUUCGUCCAGAAAUGGCGAUACUACAGAUUGGUGGUAACGAUAUUGAUCAAGAAAAACAUUAUCCUCCACAGGUGUAUAUGGAGUCUGUGAAGCAUUUCAUCACAAAGCUCCAGACCGUAUACCAGGUACAAAAAGUUGUUUUGUGAGAGAUUUUUCCUCGUCUUAAAGUCCGGAAAAGUGAUGUUGACUUUUACAAUGAGGAAAAAGAUAUGUUGAAUAGAGAGUUGGAUGCUCACUAUUCAGUUAGGCAUGCAUCACCUGGUGUUGUUUUUUGUUCCACAGGGAUGGUUUAACAAGUUCAGCGGGUUUUUUUAGGAAGCGUGAUGGCGUUCAUCUUCAUGAUGAAGGUACUUAACGUUUUUAUUUUAGUAUCAGAAGGGCUAUUGGAAGUACCCAAAAUGGUAGUUCAAUCGCCCUUGGUACUUUGAAAUUUAAACAAGAAUGAAAGAUUAUGGUAUAAUUACCAGUGAGACAGCUCUCCAGCAAUAAAAAUAAGAAUAUUUCAAAAAAAAUUGGUAUAAAGCCAUGAUAGCUAGUGAGACAGAACUCCAACAAUAAAAAUAAACAUUUUGUACAAUAACCAGUGUAUGACACCAAAAACAAUUAUGUGGUAUAUGGCCACGAUAGCCAGUGAGACAGCACUCCAUCAAUAGAAAUAAGAUGAUUUUGUGAGACAGUGAGACAGUAUUCCACCAACAAAAGAAAAUCCCUAUGUGGUGUAAAUAUAGCCAGUGAGACAGCGUACCACUAAUUUGUGCGAAGAAGAUUCUAAAUCCUAAUGAAUUUCAAUUAGUACUGUAGCAUACGGUAUAUCCAGUACUUGCAACCACUUUUAAGAUGAGUUAAUUGAAUUAUGGCCAAAAAAACCCUUAUAAGUAAUGGUUUUAGAUUAAAGUAAAUGAUGAACAUGACUAGUUUUUGGACACAUUGCCAAGGGGUUAAAGGGAAGGGAAAUAAUAAUGUACAUUAUCAUAUUAAUUUCAGGUAUUUUCGUUUUCAAUUGGAGGCCAGAAAUGACCAUUUAUACUGUUGUAUCUGUGGAUUCAGAUCAUCUUAAUUUCUCAUUAAUUUACUUUAAAUUUAUUCCUUUUUAUAAAAAGCUGCUGUUAAUUUUUGAUAAUUUAUCUUUUUUACCAAUUUAAAAUUAUAUUAUAUAGUAAUAAUGUCAGAAUUCCUAAAGUCUAAAAUUAAAUUUUGCAAUAAAGACUAGUAUUUUAAAUAACUCUUUUCUGCUCAUCUAAACUAUGCACUCAUGGUUCAUUAAGUUAAAACGAAAUGUUUUUACUCUAAUAUUUGAUAUAGCAUACUACAUACUUGUACAAAUGUAUUAGGUCAUUUUCUAGUGUUCAUUUAGGAUUGCUAUUUAAACAAUGCCCUUUAUUUUACUUUCUUAUCGUAUACACUGUUCAGGUGUAUUCAGGUAAGCAUACAUUGUAGUUAUUAGUUAAUUUUUUAUAUUUUUUUAACAAAUUAUAAGUUAUUAAGAUAAGGUUACUGUUCAAGUACCAGAGAAACAUAAUGUUCUGGUGCUUGGACAUAGUUUUGUUGCUCGUUUUGGAAAUGAUGUUUUUACGAUUCCUUCUUUAAGACCUGAUCCUGAUUUUGACCUUGAUCAGGCUGUAGUUCACUGUCUUGGUAUCAGGGGGUGUUAUCAGUGACCUUAUUAAAGAUCUGUCGGGGAGACUUCACUGCAAACUCCAUAGUUUUCGUCCAGAAAUGGUGAUACUACAGAUUGGUGGUAACGAUAUUGAUAAAGAAAAACAUUAUCAUCCUCAGGUGUAUAUGGAGUCUGAAGCAAUUCAUCACAAAGCCCCAGACCGUAUACCAGGUACAAAAAGUUGUUUAGUGCGAGAUUUUUCCUCGUCUUAAAAUCCGGCAAAC